This 253-nucleotide ribosomal RNA is filed under the name uncultured bacterium. RNAcentral describes it as "partial 16S ribosomal RNA". It matches the Rfam family "Bacterial small subunit ribosomal RNA", at positions 524 to 776 of the family's 1533-position model. The record is from RNAcentral.
UACAGAGGGGGCAAGCGUUGUUCGGAAUUACUGGGCGUAAAGGGCGCGUAGGCGGCCUGGUAAGUCGGACGUGAAAUCCCCGGGCUCAACCCGGGAACUGCGUCCGAUACUGGCAGGCUUGAAUUCGGGAGAGGGAUGCGGAAUUCCAGGUGUAGCGGUGAAAUGCGUAGAUAUCUGGAGGAACACCGGUGGCGAAGGCGGCAUCCUGGACCGAGAUUGACGCUGAGGCGCGAAAGCCAGGGGAGCAAACGGG